CGUUCCGUUUAUUUCGCAUCGAGGCGCUAUCGAAGCUGGACGUGUGUUUUCUCUCCUCAUCGUGGUCGUCGUCGCGUUGAAUCGCGUGAGUUUCGUUGUUCCCCGUAGAGUUCAGCGUAUAGGUGGCGGUAAGCAGCGGCCAGUGUUGUUGGUGAACUCUUUAUCGUGCAAUCAGAUGGAUACUGUUGUUGAACGUGAUUUUCGGCAGAUACAGAGGCACUGUGCGGUUCGGACGUUGUUUCUUUCGUUGUUCCUUGGGAAAUUGGAAGAUCUUGGUAGCUAAUGAAUUUUAAUGGUUGGUGGUGCUCCGAAGAAGGAAGAAAACGUUAGGAAUUGCAAGUUUAUGGGGAAAUCGAAAAUUUGAUGGCUUUUCGCAGAAUGGCAGGGUAUUAAUUCGGAAAUACAAGACAGAACGCGCUAAGGUCUUGAGUGAUACGUGUUAAUCCUGGCCCAGUGGUCUGUCCGGUCAAGUAGGGAGAAACUGGAAAGAAGAAUUUAAGUCGUCGCCCGUCAGAAUCCGGUGCGGUGAAAAGGUGGAUAUUUUAUAGUGGUUCCGAGUUCAGCCGGAGGCAAACGAGAACGAAGAGAUUUGGUCCAUGCUUUGAACUUCUUGUGCCAAAGAAGCAGGAAAAGGUGCAAAGGCGAAAACAUACGGAAUUUGUACUUGGCCAUACGAGUUGUAUGUGUGUUUAUGGUGGAACGAAUGUGGCGUGGUGUUGCUCCAGUGGGAUUGUACUGAAGAGAAAGACACCGUUACCAAUCGCACGACCCACCAAUAGCAAUUCCCGUAUGGAUAUCCAGAAGCGUUGGCGUGAUAGCAACAAAAGAAGCGGCUUGGAGCUUUGAGAAUUGUAAUUCAAUUUCGAUAUUCGUGUCGCUGUUAAACGAAAGGUCACCUUUAGUUCCAAAAGUUAACACUCCGGUUUAUGUGUGGAUCAAGUUGACAUUAAACAACAAAGUGAACCAAGUGAGAAGUUAUCUAAUCCUCUGGUGGAAGUUAGUCUUGUAUGAAUUCAAACGACCGUCUCUCGCGCAGCGUUUAUUACGAUCGGUUUCAAUUAUUCAAUACAAAACCAUACCUAAACAGCAACUAAAAGUUUUUAUUUCUGGUCACAAUCGACUGAACCCGUUCGCGUAGAGGUGUCUUGAAGCAAAAUUGGAAGGAAGAAAAGUGCUGCCCGGAUUCCGGUCCGUGGUCAGUCUCAGUCGCCCAUCGUCAGUGGCGCGCGAAAAUAAAAGUGAAGAAAAAGGCAAACUCGAAUCAACUCGACUCUGUUGUUUGUGCCCAAUUUAUUAAACUAGGCUUAUUUUGGACUAUCACACUCAACAGUGCACCAUUCCGGGGGCUGCUUGGAUUGGAUAACGUAGACUUGUUCAGUGCAGAGCUCGAUUCAGGUGUGCCUGUCAACGAUCAAUUCGACGCGGUCUGAGCAGCAGCAUUCCGAGUACCUAGUAGUAGCAGCAGCAG
This is a long non-coding RNA of Aedes aegypti (yellow fever mosquito), 1468 nucleotides long. RefSeq lists it as uncharacterized. The transcript is spliced from 2 exons. The record is from RefSeq and is a predicted model, not a curated record. NCBI's taxonomy places the organism in Eukaryota, Metazoa, Arthropoda, Insecta, Diptera, Culicidae.